GCCGGCGGCCAUACCACCCUGGUCACACCCUCUCUCUGGUCUCAGGGCCUAAGCAGCGUCAGCCUGGCUAGCACUUGGAUGGGAGACCGCCUGGGAACAUCAGGUGCUGUGACU
RNAcentral lists this ribosomal RNA (114 nucleotides) under Propithecus coquereli (Coquerel's sifaka). Lineage: Eukaryota; Metazoa; Chordata; Mammalia; Primates; Indriidae. The record is from RNAcentral.